AUGCGGUGUUACCGCAUCAAAGAAACAUGCAUUCCUGAGUUUUCAGAGCCGCCAGAUUGUGAGGAUGAUCAGCCACCUGACUCCUUUCUCAACCAUGCAUUUAGCAGCAGUGAGCAGUCACCCUUUGAGGUCCUCCAUGGAGAUGCUCAUUUUAGGGGCCACUUGGUUUGUAGGAAUUCACCGUAUCUGGGUAACGUAGUCAUACACCCUUUGGAUGUUUGGUUUUUCUGGUUUCGGCGAGUCUGGUUUGGCUGGCUGUGGCUGCUGUUAGAUUUGCUGGAUAUCGGAUCGGUGGAUAAGCACGGUGCAACAACUGUUGUUUGGUUAUUACUUGUAGCAGCAGUGAGUGUAGUAGCAUUUCAUAUCUAUCACCCCAGUGUUGAGUUUUGA
This 390-nucleotide ribosomal RNA is filed under the name Triticum aestivum (bread wheat). RNAcentral's name for it is "partial small subunit ribosomal RNA". The record is from RNAcentral. Lineage: Eukaryota; Viridiplantae; Streptophyta; Magnoliopsida; Poales; Poaceae.